UAUUUUGUUCAUAAACUGCAUCAUCCUUGGAAUCUUCUACUUCUCACUCAUGAUCAAAAUUUAGGAUAGAGAAUGGUAUACGGUUUAGUCUAUUUUGAAAUAAAAGUUUAGUUUAGAGAAAAAGUGGACGUGCCGGAGUGGUUAUCGGGCAUAACUAGAAAUCAUGUGGGCUUUGCCCGCGCAGGUUCGAAUCCUGCCGUUCACGUUUUUAUUUUGAGUGUUGGUUAG
RNAcentral lists this transfer RNA (228 nucleotides) under Arabidopsis thaliana (thale cress). Its description in RNAcentral is "ATSL057510". The stretch from base 124 to 205 matches the Rfam family "tRNA". Lineage: Eukaryota; Viridiplantae; Streptophyta; Magnoliopsida; Brassicales; Brassicaceae. The record is from RNAcentral.